GAGAGAGAGAGAGAGAUAUCUAUUUAUUUUCUUUUCUCUAAAAAAAUUUAGAUCCUAAAUGUUUGAUUAUUACUCAAUUUUUUAUUAUGCAUCAAGACAUCUUUAAAGCAAUUCACAGUUGUUAAGAUAUUUCAAACUAUUAUUAGAAUACUCCAUUAAUGUUUUUCAAAACUUAUUUCCUCAAAUGCAAAUAAUUAUCUAUAAAAGUUAUUUAUUAACAAAAAAAAAAUCAUCAGAUUUAUAAUAUUAAAGAAAAAGUACUAAAAUUCCAAGACAGUUUAAAAUUUUGAUAGCUAAAUUCGAAAGUGGCGAUUUUUUAUUAAUAAUUUUAUUACUAUAUUUAAAAUUAUAAAAUAUUUUAAAGGCGAUUACAAUACCUCAAUAAAGUGUAGAAUUAAAAUUCAUUAUUAUUAUUAAAGCCUGGCUAUUGGGCUUCUUCUGAUUAUGUGUGUAGUUGCAUUUAAUAAUUCACACACAAAACAAAAAAGACAUGAUAAAAUAACAAAAUAGGUUAGAGAUCUCUCCCAUAUUUUUUAAAAGCCAAUAUAUAUAUUAUAUUCAAUAAAUAUUAUUGCAAUUAAAAAUAAAAUUAAAAAUAACUCUUAUAUACCUAUAAAAUAUUAUCUGUACUUGAUAAUUUAUUGUGAAAUAAAUCAUAGAUAAAUGAUUGAAGUUUGAAUUAUCUUUCAAAUAAGGGUUUGGAUUUUAAUAUUUAAAAUUUACAAAAAUUAUAUUAAUUUUAAAAAAUACAUAUGGAACUAAAAGCCUUUUUGAACGAUCUGAUUCUGUUGAAAUGCAAGAGAAUUUUAUGGAUUUAUGUGAUUUAAAAAUUAAACUUAUCUGACUUUUAAACAUUUUUCUCACACCAAUGCAUUCUUAAAUGUUAUAUUAUGAUACAACUAUAACCAAAGUAGCUUCAAUGAGCACAAAAGGCAUUCUUCAAUCAUUUUUUCAUGUAAAAUUAACCAAUCUAUUGUAAAAAAGAUAACCACAAAAAUUUGAUAAAAAAUUAGUCUUAUUUCAAACAAAUAAU
Molecule: long non-coding RNA, 1033 nt
Filed under: Physcomitrium patens
Lineage: Eukaryota; Viridiplantae; Streptophyta; Bryopsida; Funariales; Funariaceae
Description: long non-coding RNA (PPAT_LNC007916)
Source: RNAcentral